UACGGGGGGGGCAAGCGUUGUUCGGAAUUACUGGGCGUAAAGGGUUCGUAGGUGGUCAACUAAGUCAUACGUGAAAUCCCUCAGCUUAACUGGGGAACUGCGUCUGAUACUGGUUGACUUGAGUGCAGGAGAGGAACGCGGAAUUCCAGGUGUAGCGGUGAAAUGCGUAGAUAUCUGGAGGAACACCGGUGGCGAAGGCGGCGUUCUGGACUGUAACUGACACUGAGGAACGAAAGCCAGGGGAGCAAAC
RNAcentral lists this ribosomal RNA (250 nucleotides) under uncultured bacterium. RNAcentral describes it as "partial 16S ribosomal RNA". It matches the Rfam family "Bacterial small subunit ribosomal RNA", at positions 524 to 773 of the family's 1533-position model. The record is from RNAcentral.